This 1096-nucleotide long non-coding RNA is filed under the name Mytilus galloprovincialis (Mediterranean mussel). The record is from RNAcentral. Lineage: Eukaryota; Metazoa; Mollusca; Bivalvia; Mytilida; Mytilidae.
UGGGAAAAUUAAAGAACCUUAGUGAGCACGCUCACAUACCCCACGUCCCCACAUUGUCAUUGGAGAAAUUAAAUAAGUAUAAGAAAAGAUAUUGAAUAAUAAUUUCCUGUCAAUAUAUAUAGUAUGUCCUUAUUAUCUACAAAAUUUCAUGAAAUUAUGUUGUGUGUUUUCAGAGGAGUUGAGAUGACAAACUGUUGCAGAAGUACAUUGAAGCAAAUAAGUUCAAAGGGGCAUAACUCCUAGAAAAAAAAUUGAACCGUAAUUUCCUGUUGAUAUGCACAUCUACAUAGUAUGUCCUUAUUAUCUACAAAGUUUCAUGAAAUUCUGUUAUGUGGUUUGAGAGGAGUUGCGAUGACAAACUGUUGCAGUAGUACAUUAAAGUAAAUAAGUUCAAAGGGGCGUAACUCCUAGAAAAAAAAUUGAAUCGCAAUUUCCCGUCGAUAUGCACAACUACAUAGUAUGUCCUUAUUAUCUGAAAAGGUUUCGUGAAAUUCUGUGUGUGGUUUGAGAGGAGUUGCGAUGACAAACUGUUGCAGUAGUACAUUAAAGUAAAUAAGUUCAAAGGGGCGUAACUCCUAGAAAAAAAAUUGAAUCGCAAUUUCCCGUCGAUAUGCACAACUACAUAGUAUUUCCUUAUUAUCUGAAAAGGUUUCGUGAAAUUCUGUUGUGUGGUUUGGGAGGAGUUGCGAUGACAAACUGUUGCAGUAGUACAGUAAAGUAAAUAAGUUCAAAGGGGCGCAACUUCUAGAAAAAAAAUUGAAUCGCAAUUUCCCGUCGAUAUGCACAACUACAUAGUAUGUCCUUAUUAUCUGAAAAGGUUUCGUGAAAUUCUGUUGUGUGGUUUGAGAGGAGUUGCGAUGACAAACUGUUGCAGUAGUACAUUAAAGUAAAUAAGUUCAAAGGGGCGUAACUCCUAGAAAAAAAUUGAAUCGCAAUUUCCCGUCGAUAUGCACAACUACAUAGUAUGUCCUUAUUAUCUGAAAAGGUUUGGUGAAAUUCUGUUGUGUGGUUUGAGAGGAGUUGCGAUGACAAGAAACAGGACUGACGGACUGACGGACGGACGGACGGACAGACGGACUGACGGACGGACGGACGG